Molecule: non-coding RNA, 29 nt
Filed under: Mus musculus (house mouse)
Lineage: Eukaryota; Metazoa; Chordata; Mammalia; Rodentia; Muridae
Source: RNAcentral
UCCAGACUGACCAAGGGAAUACUAAUGUC